UACGUAGGGGCCUAGCGUUGUCCGGCAUUAUUGGGCGUAAAGAGCUCGUAGGCGGUUCGGCAAGUCGGAUGUGAAAUCUCCACGCUCAACGUGGAGGGGCCAUUCGAAACUGCCGUGACUCGAGUCCGGUAGGGGAGUGUGGAAUUCCCGGUGUAGCGGUGAAAUGCGCAGAUAUCAGGAGGAACACCGGUGGCGAAGGCGGGUCUCUGGGCCGAUACUGACGCUGAGGAGCGAAAGCGUGGGGAGCGAACAGG
This 254-nucleotide ribosomal RNA is filed under the name uncultured bacterium. RNAcentral describes it as "partial 16S ribosomal RNA". It matches the Rfam family "Bacterial small subunit ribosomal RNA", at positions 524 to 776 of the family's 1533-position model. The record is from RNAcentral.